UAUAUAUAUAUAUAUAUAUAUAUAGAGAGAGAGAGAGAGAGAGAGACCUCCAUGUGUCUGGCCAAAGACCCGGAUCAGAGGAGCUGUAGACAAAAUAAAAAGCUGAAGCAGGAAAAAAAAACAACAACAACACAGAACACAUCUAAUAAGAGAAUUAGUCCUGGAACGAAUUAUCAACAAGUCAGGCGAACAUUUUCCAUAAACAAGACAUAAUAAGGCUAAUAAUUAGUAGAUUGAGGUUUAGUAAAGUACCAAAGCCCCCCAGCAUCAUCACUUCUGUGUCCAACUCCAACAACUCCACUGUUAAAGACUGAGAACGUUUCCCUCUGGACAUCUACCACUCCUUCUCCUGGCUCUCAUAUGAGAGCGGUUGAGUUCUAGCACACUAGAAGCAAAAGAGAUGGCGAGCGACAGUGAAGGAGGGACGGAGAAGAAAAUGUAAGCUCCAACAACACACACACACACAUGGGGAGUGUAUUCACUCACACAUUACAGUACUGACGAUGUCGAGAGAACACGCGUGUCUUCCCUGAUGGUGUGUACAUGACCGGCUGCGUAAACAAAUCAAAGAGCGUGUGAAUGAAACGUGAUGGCGUAGGGACGGACAGUAAGGGCGUGGGAUGGGUUUCUGCGGGAUUGUAAAAACGCCGACGUUCAUCGCUCCAGUACGCGUUCGAUACGCAACGUAUUCGGGUUUGCUCUUUUCCAAAACGCAGACCGUGCCAAGGCAGGCUUUCACACCCACAGAUCAAUAAACACACCCUCAUGACCACACGCAGAUGAGGAGCAGACUCUGCUUCAUCAAAAAUAAAUAAAUAAAUAAAUAAAAUGGCUGAGUAUGCACCGAACUUGUUUUGCAGAUGUUCUGCAAUAUUAAAGGGAUGAAAACCGUCGAUCUUUAAUAAACAAAAGAUUGAACUCGGUGACGAUUUGCUUUAGUGUAAGAGGAAUAAAACACUCCGGGGGUGUGCUGGUAUAGGGAAAUAUCCACCUUUGUGGUUCGUGGUAACGGUAAUGCUGUUCCAUCACACCCAACCUCUCUAUACCUUUCCGUAAAGUGCUUUAUUCCUCUUAUACUACAGCAGUUUGGCAACAGUGAUGUUUUUAAAGGUCCUAAGUCCGAGUUUGAUGAGACCUGACCCAUCAGUGGUGCAUUCCCAACCCUUUAGGCUUAUAAACAGAUGAUCGAGCGCUCACAGGCUACACCGGAGUCCUGCGAUGAUCGUUAUAACCGCUGUAGAGCGUCCGCUACUGAGGCGAGAAACAAUGCUGCUGGGAAACUGAAGAAAACAGAUGUGGAGGGAAAAUCUAUCCUGCGCCAUGUACUCUAUAGACUUGUGGCUUUGUAUACUGUAUAUCCUGCACUUACACUCUCACCUUAGAUUACCUUAACAUGCACUGUUCUGUGUAUUUAUUUUUCUGUGUACAGUGCUGUGAAAAAGUAUUUGCCCCAUCCUGAUUUCUAGACGCAACCAGGCCUGAUUACUGCAAACCCUGUUCAAUCACAUCUACACUUACAUAGAACUUUUUCAGCAGCAGGAAGUUGGGUAAAAGGUCUUACGGAGUAACGCACUACGCCAAAGAAAUUCCAGAAAUGAUGAGGCAGAAGCGAGAGCCGUCAUCUCCAAAUGGAGAAACUCGGCACAGUAGUGAACCUUCCUAGAAGUGUCCGACCUUCCAAAACUCCUCCAAGAGCACGGCGACGACUCAUCCAGGAAGUCCCAAAAGAGCCAAGGACAAUAUCAAAGGACCUACAGGCCUCUCUUGCGUCAAUAAAGGUCACUGUUCAUGAC
Long non-coding RNA from Ictalurus punctatus (channel catfish), 1793 nucleotides. NCBI's taxonomy places the organism in Eukaryota, Metazoa, Chordata, Actinopteri, Siluriformes, Ictaluridae. The record is from Ensembl.